RNAcentral lists this transfer-messenger RNA (354 nucleotides) under Verrucomicrobiia. RNAcentral describes it as "DSWX01 sp024832785 X3 Standard tmRNA". It matches the Rfam family "transfer-messenger RNA". From Rfam's summary of the family: Bacterial tmRNA, also known as 10Sa RNA or SsrA, is named for its dual tRNA and mRNA-like properties. Its role is to liberate the mRNA from a stalled ribosome. The record is from RNAcentral. RNAcentral also lists the same sequence under 1 other name. Lineage: Bacteria; Pseudomonadati; Verrucomicrobiota.
GGGGGCGUACUGGUUUCGACCUGGUUGACUCGCCGGAAGUGGCAUGCCGAGGAUGAUCCGUUGGCCUCGUUAAUCAUCGGGUCAAACAAAUAAACGCUAACGACGAGUUGGCUCUCGCGGCCUAAUAAUGCCGCGACGUCCGCCUCCGGACACCUGCUACGGGGGAUGGACGCCACAGCAGGCAUGGGCGGGCGCGGAGCGGGCGCGCGCCGGCCCGAGAAAAACACUGCCGGCUAUGCCGCCGGAUUCCGGCCGAAAGGUUAUCCGGCGGAAGAAAAUCGCUUUCGGCUAAGCAUGUAGUCGCGACCGGUUGGCUGGCCAGGGACGCGGGUUCAACUCCCGCCGCCUCCACCA